Molecule: ribosomal RNA, 230 nt
Filed under: uncultured bacterium
Lineage: Bacteria
Description: partial 16S ribosomal RNA
Rfam family: Bacterial small subunit ribosomal RNA
Source: RNAcentral
CGGGGUGAGGAACACAUCGGAAUCUACCCUGUCGUGGGGGACAACGUAGGGAAACUUACGCUAAUACCGCAUACGACCUUUGGGUGAAAGCGGGGGACUCGCAAGAGCCUCGCGCGAUUGGAUGAGCCGAUGUCCGAUUAGCUAGUUGGCGGGGUAAUGGCCCACCAAGGCGACGAUCGGUAGCUGGUCUGAGAGGACGAUCAGCCACACUGGGAUUGAGAACGGCCCAG